UUAAGUGAAUAAGGGCGCACGGUGGAUGCCUUGGCACUAGGAGCCGAUGAAGGACGGGACUAACACCGAUAUGCUUUGGGGAGCUGUACGUAAGCUAUGAUCCAGAGAUUUCCGAAUGGGGGAACCCAGCAUCUUUAAUAGGAUGUUACGAUUGUGUGAAUACAUAGCACAUUCGAGGUAGACGCAGAGAACUGAAACAUCUAAGUACCUGCAGGAAGAGAAAGAAAAUUCGAUUCCCUGAGUAGCGGCGAGCGAAACGGGAAAAGCCCAAACCAACAAGCUUGCUUGUUGGGGUUGUAGGACUCCAAUAUGGUCGUUCUUUCAGAUAGUCGAAUGACUUGGAAAAGUCAGUCAAAGAGGGUAAAAACCCCGUAGACGAAAUGUGGAAGACACCUAGGAGGAUCCUGAGUACGGCGGAACACGAGAAAUUCCGUCGGAAUCCGGGAGGACCAUCUCCCAAGGCUAAAUACUCCCUAGUGACCGAUAGUGAACCAGUACCGUGAGGGAAAGGUGAAAAGCACCCCGGAAGGGGAGUGAAAUAGAACCUGAAACCGUGUGCCUACAACAAGUCAAAGCCCGUUAAUGGGUGAUGGCGUGCCUUUUGUAGAAUGAACCGGCGAGUUACGAUUGCAUGCGAGGUUAAGUUGAAGAGACGGAGCCGCAGCGAAAGCGAGUCUGAAUAGGGCGUUUGAGUAUGUAGUCGUAGACCCGAAACCAUGUGAUCUACCCAUGUCCAGGUUGAAGGUGCGGUAAAACGCACUGGAGGACCGAACCCACGUACGUUGAAAAGUGCGGGGAUGAGGUGUGGGUAGCGGAGAAAUUCCAAACGAACUUGGAGAUAGCUGGUUCUCUCCGAAAUAGCUUUAGGGCUAGCCUCGGAAUUGAGAAUGAUGGAGGUAGAGCACUGUUUGGACUAGGGGCCCAUCUCGGGUUACCGAAUUCAGAUAAACUCCGAAUGCCAUUCAUUCAUAUCCGGGAGUCAGACUGUGAGUGAUAAGAUCCAUAGUAGAAAGGGAAACAGCCCAGACCACCAGCUAAGGUCCCAAAAUAUAUGUUAAGUGGAAAAGGAUGUGGGGUUGCACAGACAACUAGGAUGUUGGCUUAGAAGCAGCCACCAUUUAAAGAGUGCGUAAUAGCUCACUAGUCGAGUGACCCUGCGCCGAAAAUGUACCGGGGCUAAACAUAUUACCGAAGCUGUGGAGUACACCUUUAGGUGUAUUGGUAGGAGAGCGUUCUAAGGGCGUCGAAGGCAGAUCGUGAGGACUGCUGGAGCGCUUAGAAGUGAGAAUGCCGGUAUGAGUAGCGAAAGACAGGUGAGAAUCCUGUCCACCGAAUGACUAAGGUUUCCUGGGGAAGGCUCGUCCGCCCAGGGUUAGUCGGGACCUAAGCCGAGGCCGAUAGGCGUAGGCGAUGGAUAACAGGUUGAUAUUCCUGUACCCGUUGUUUUUGUUUGAGCAAUGGAGGGACGCAGGAGGCUAAGGAAUGCAGACGAUCGGAAAUGUCUGUCCAAGCAGUAAGUCUGAAGAGGAGUCAAAUGCUUCUUUUCUUAAGGACAAGCUGUGAUGGGGAGGGAAAUAAUAGUACCGAAGUUCCUGAUGUCACACUGCCGAGAAAAGCUUCUAGUGAGAAAACAGCGGCCCGUACCGCAAACCGACACAGGUAGUCGAGGAGAGAAUCCUAAGGUGAGCGAGAGAACUCUCGUUAAGGAACUCGGCAAAAUGACCCCGUAACUUCGGGAGAAGGGGUGCUGAUCAUACGAUCAGCCGCAGUGAAUAGGCCCAAGCGACUGUUUAUCAAAAACACAGGUCUCUGCAAAAUCGUAAGAUGAAGUAUAGGGGCUGACGCCUGCCCGGUGCUGGAAGGUUAAGAGGAGUGCUUAGCGCAAGCGAAGGUACGAAUUGAAGCCCCAGUAAACGGCGGCCGUAACUAUAACGGUCCUAAGGUAGCGAAAUUCCUUGUCGGGUAAGUUCCGACCCGCACGAAAGGCGUAACGAUUUGGGCACUGUCUCAACGAGAGACUCG
This 2022-nucleotide ribosomal RNA is filed under the name Enterococcus faecium. RNAcentral describes it as "bacterial LSU rRNA". It matches the Rfam family "Bacterial large subunit ribosomal RNA", at positions 1 to 2035 of the family's 2925-position model. Lineage: Bacteria; Bacillati; Bacillota; Bacilli; Lactobacillales; Enterococcaceae. The record is from RNAcentral.